AUUGAACGCUGGCGGAAUGCUUUACACAUGCAAGUCGAACGGCAGCACGGGGGCAACCCUGGUGGCGAGUGGCGAACGGGUGAGUAAUACAUCGGAACGUGCCCAGUCGUGGGGGAUAACGUAGCGAAAGUUACGCUAAUACCGCAUACGAUCUACGGAUGAAAGCGGGGGACCGUAAGGCCUCGCGCGAUUGGAGCGGCCGAUGUCAGGUUAGGUAGUUGGUGAGGGAAAGGCUCACCAAGCCGACGAUCUGUAGCUGGUCUGAGAGGACGACCAGCCACACUGGGACUGAGACACGGCCCAGACUCCUACGGGAGGCAGCAGUGGGGAAUUUUGGACAAUGGGCGCAAGCCUGAUCCAGCCAUUCCGCGUGCAGGACGAAGGCCUUCGGGUUGUAAACUGCUUUUGUACGGAACGAAAAGGCUCUGGUUAAUACCUUGGGCUCAUGACGGUACCGUAAGAAUAAGCACCGGCUAACUACGUGCCAGCCGCCGCGGUAA
RNAcentral lists this ribosomal RNA (500 nucleotides) under uncultured bacterium. RNAcentral's name for it is "partial 16S ribosomal RNA". It matches the Rfam family "Bacterial small subunit ribosomal RNA", at positions 30 to 523 of the family's 1533-position model. The record is from RNAcentral.